UGGGUAACCUGCCUCAAAGAGGGGAAUAGCCUCCCGAAAGGGAGAUUAAUACCGCAUAAUAUGUUUAAGUCGCAUGACUUUAACAUCAAAGGAUUUUCUUUUAGAAAUUCCACUUUGAGAUGGACCCGCGGCGCAUUAGCUAGUUGGUGAGGUAACGGCUCACCAAGGCAACGAUACGUAGCCGACCUGAGAGGGUGAUCGGCCACACUGGGACUGAGACACGGCCCAGACUCCUACGGGAGCAG
RNAcentral lists this ribosomal RNA (245 nucleotides) under uncultured bacterium. RNAcentral describes it as "partial 16S ribosomal RNA". It matches the Rfam family "Bacterial small subunit ribosomal RNA", at positions 118 to 347 of the family's 1533-position model. The record is from RNAcentral.